RNAcentral lists this ribosomal RNA (445 nucleotides) under uncultured bacterium. Its description in RNAcentral is "partial 16S ribosomal RNA". It matches the Rfam family "Bacterial small subunit ribosomal RNA", at positions 354 to 796 of the family's 1533-position model. The record is from RNAcentral.
GUGAGGAAUAUUGCGCAAUGGAGGCAACUCUGACGCAGCCAUGCCGCGUGCAGGAAGAAGGCGCUACGCGUUGUAAACUGCUUUUAACCGGGAAGAAACCCCAGGACGUGUCCUGGGUUGACGGUACCGGAGGAAUAAGCACCGGCUAACUUCGUGCCAGCAGCCGCGGUAAUACGAAGGGUGCAAGCGUUAUCCGGAUGCAUUGGGUUUAAAGGGUGCGUAGGCGGAGCGUUAAGUCAGUGGUGAAAUCCUGCAGCUUAACUGUAGACUUGCCAUUGAUACUGGCGCUCUUGAGUGCGCUUGAAGUGGGCGGAAUGUGCUGUGUAGCGGUGAAAUGCUUAGAUAUGGCACAGAACACCAAUUGCGAAGGCAGCUCACUAAGGCGAUACUGACGCUGAGGCACGAAAGCGUGGGGAUCGAACAGGAUUAGAUACCCGGGUAGUCC